This is a long non-coding RNA of Sapajus apella (tufted capuchin), 769 nucleotides long. RefSeq lists it as uncharacterized. The record is from RefSeq and is a predicted model, not a curated record. Lineage: Eukaryota; Metazoa; Chordata; Mammalia; Primates; Cebidae. The transcript has 2 exons.
GACGCCGAUUGGCUGAGGAGGCGGGUCUCCCGGGGUCGGCUGUAGGGAAGUGGUCGGGGGUAGGGAAUGCGGUGCAGGUCGUGUGGGCGGUUGGGACGCAGAAUUUACUCGACGAAUGUGGGAGAAAGAGGCGGAGCGUGCGUCGUACGUUCUUGGAAAGAUGGGAGCGCAGAGACGUAGGGACGCCAAAAGUGGAAGGAAACGUUACACGGCCCAUGGCGCCUUCAGCUGAGGAGACUGAGAGGACAGGGGCUGGUGGGGCGGAAUUAGCAGCCAGAGGGCGGAGCUUGCGCAGACCUGAGAAAAGACUCACAGAAGCUGAGUGAUUUGUCAAAGUGACAAAGCUUAAAGUGGCGGAGAAUGUUGGUUCAAGGUAUUCCUUGCUCUUCAUGAAAGCUGUCAUGGGCCUGGGUACACUGGACAUGUCUUUUCAUCCUGCCUGCAUUCCUUGAGGUUAAGGCUGCCUUAUACAGCUGGAAUCCCCCUUGGUGCAUGAAGCCAUCUGCUAUAGUGGACACAUUACAGUGUUGUUGGUGGAUUGUUCAUAUGGGCAAAUCCUUGCCACCUUUCCCUCAAGACCUGUCUCUCCUUCCCAAACCAAGGAAAAAAAAUUCCCCAAAUAAAAACUAAGCUGACUUGACAUGCAGAGGAAGGGUAAUUUAUUUAAUGCGUUGACUCUGGCUUACAAUUUUGUCUUCUGUUUCCAUAUCUGGGUCAUUAGAACCCCCUUCAAUCCCACCACAUUCCUUUUCCCUUCAAAUCAGGGCAA